AAGGGAUGCCGAAGGGUCACAAAGCUUGCAUGUCGCAAGGCGAUGUGCCUAGGCACGAGGGUGCCGAAGGCGACACAAAGCUUGCAUGUUUGUAAGCCAAUAUAGCUAGGCUCGGAGGUGCCGAAGGCAAAGGGAUGCCGAAGGCACAAAGCUUGCAUGUCGCAAGGCAAUGUGCCUAGGCACGAGGGUGCCGAAGGCAACACAAAGCUUGCAUGUUUGCAAGCCAAUAUAGCUAGGCUCGGAGGUGCCGAAGGCAAAGGGAUGCCGAAGGCACAAAGCUUGCAUGUCGCAAGGCAAUGUGCCUAGGCACGAGGGUGCCGAAGGCAUAAGAAUUGCAUGUCGCAAGGUGGUGGGCCUAGGCACGAGGGUGCCGAAGGCAACACAAAGCUUGCAUGUUUGCAAGCCAAUAUAGCUAGGCUCGGAGGUGCCGAAGGCAAAGGGGAUGCCGAAGGCAUAAGAAUUGCAUGUCGCAAGGGUGCCGAAGGCAUAAGAAUUGCAUGUCGCAAGGUGGUGGGGCUAGGCUCGAGGGUGCCGAAGGCGACACAAAGCUUGCAUGUUUGCAAGCCAAUAUAGCUAGGCUCGGAGGUGCCGAAGGCAAAGGGUGCUGAAGGGAAAAAUGCAAGAAUGCAUUUUUUUAUUAUUAUUUUAGGAAAGAAUAAUAAUAAAAAUAGCUUCCCUUUUUAUUUUAGGAGAAGCUAAGUGACCUCUUGGGUUUUCGUUAUGAGAAAGGCUAGACCUUCGGCAACGAUGGGCCUGGGGUGCACACGGCUUGAAAGGAGGAAGAGCCUAAGGAGGUUCAGUGUGGCUCUUGCCGUUUGGCAGGUCUAAAGCUUGAAGAAAAACGAACUUCGGGAGCUGUCAUUUCUCCUUCAUGGCCCUUGCUGUUCGGCAAGGGUGCCAAAUGUUGGCUGGGCUUAGCAUGAUAAUGGAUCUGGGCCCAUGGGAGAUCGUGAGCACGUCUUGAAUUUGGUAUGACCCUUUAGUGAGCACUAGUUUUGGAGCUAGGCCCUCAACAUUUCGACGGGGCUGUAGGUUUGUAUUUUGGGUUUAGGCAAGGCCGUAGGGUUUGGAAGGGGCGUGUUCACCUUUUGUUUAGAUCAAAUCUGCCGUUCGGCAAGGUGCAGUUGAAAGGAGCUACACACGCGAUUAUGGUUGAGUUGGUAAGUUCGAUUCGGCUAGAGCUAAGAGCGGGUCUGGGCAGGUCGGCAAGAGGAGAGUUGUCGCAAGUUUUCGUGGUUCAGCAAGGAGGUGCCGAUCGGCAAGGGACAGUCGAGGGGUUUUGGUGAGCUCUCUUCUUGCUGCGCAGCCCUUGCCAUUCGGCAAGGGUGAUUGAAAAAGUUCUUGGCAAGGGUCUUCUCUGGUUCCGCAAGGGUGUCUUCUCCGAUUGUAUAGCCCUUGCCGUUCGGCAAGGGUGUUGAAAAUUCUGAAGGGGCUGGCAUAAGCCCGCCGUUCGGCAAUGAUGGGCUUGGUAAAAAUUCUUCAGCUCGUGGGUCUUUUGGCAAGGUUGGCCUUCGAAGAUCUUGAAGCCGUCAGCACAAACCUUGUCGUUCGGCAAGGUUGGCUAGAAGGGAUUUUGUGAGUUGAACGGGGCUUCGGCAGCGCGGCGUGGGUUCGAGUUACAUUUGGUAAGACUUUCUGCGAGCUCCCAUUUGCUUCUGCUUAGCCCUUGCCGUUCGGCAAGGGUGUUUUUGGAAAGGAAGGUGAGUUUCCCACUUCGGCACCUUUGGGAUCGUGAGGCCAGUGCGAUGAUUAUUUUGUGGGGAAGCAGACUGUAGCAUAUGCCUGCCGAUCGGCAGGUUUGGUUUGGGAAGUUUUAGAGCUGUAGGGCAAGCUUCAGCGAUCAAAAAUUCGACUCCGGAAGUUGCAGCACCAUCCUUGCCGGCAAGUGUGUAAUUUUCGUG
Molecule: long non-coding RNA, 1901 nt
Filed under: Prunus persica (peach)
Lineage: Eukaryota; Viridiplantae; Streptophyta; Magnoliopsida; Rosales; Rosaceae
Description: long non-coding RNA (PPER_LNC000142)
Source: RNAcentral